RNAcentral lists this microRNA precursor (60 nucleotides) under Anolis carolinensis (green anole). Its description in RNAcentral is "Aca-Mir-1-P2_pre stem-loop". It matches the Rfam family "mir-1 microRNA precursor family", at positions 10 to 70 of the family's 79-position model. From Rfam's summary of the family: This family represents the microRNA (miRNA) mir-1 family. miRNAs are transcribed as ~70nt precursors (modelled here) and subsequently processed by the Dicer enzyme to give a ~22nt product. Lineage: Eukaryota; Metazoa; Chordata; Lepidosauria; Squamata; Anolidae. The record is from RNAcentral.
ACAUGCUUCUUUAUAUCUCCAUAUGAAUUGCCUUGCUAUGGAAUGUAAGGAAGUGUGUGG